This 492-nucleotide ribosomal RNA is filed under the name uncultured bacterium. RNAcentral's name for it is "partial 16S ribosomal RNA". It matches the Rfam family "Bacterial small subunit ribosomal RNA", at positions 29 to 507 of the family's 1533-position model. The record is from RNAcentral.
AGUGAACGCUGGCGGUAGGCCUAACACAUGCAAGUCGAACGGCAGCACAGUAAGAGCUUGCUCUUACGGGUGGCGAGUGGCGGACGGGUGAGGAAUACAUCGGAAUCUACUUUUUCGUGGGGGAUAACGUAGGGAAACUUACGCUAAUGCCGCAUACGACCUACGGGUGAAAGCAGGGGAUCUUCGGACCUUGCGCGAUUGAAUGAGCCGAUGUCGGAUUAGCUAGUUGGCGGGGUAAAGGCCCACCAAGGCGACGAUCCGUAGCUGGUCUGAGAGGAUGAUCAGCCACACUGGAACUGGGACACGGUCCAGACUCCUACGGGAGGCAGCAGUGGGGAAUAUUGGACAAUGGGCGCAAGCCUGAUCCAGCCAUACCGCGUGGGUGAAGAAGGCCUUCGGGGUGUAAAGCCCUUUUGUUGGGAAAGAAAAGCAGCAGGUUAAUACCCCGCUGUUCUGACGGUACCCAAAGAAUAAGCACCGGCUAACUUCGUG